RNAcentral lists this ribosomal RNA (502 nucleotides) under uncultured bacterium. RNAcentral describes it as "partial 16S ribosomal RNA". It matches the Rfam family "Bacterial small subunit ribosomal RNA", at positions 28 to 523 of the family's 1533-position model. The record is from RNAcentral.
GAUGAACGCUAGCGGCAGGCCUAACACAUGCAAGUCGAGGGGCAGCACAGAAACAGCAAUGUUUUGGUGGCGACCGGCGGACGGGUGCGUAACGCGUAUGCAACCUACCUUUAACAGGGGGAUAACGGAGAGAAAUUUCCACUAAUACCCCAUAACAUCGAUCAAGGCAUCUUGAUUGGUUGAAAACUCCGGGGGUUAAAGAUGGGCAUGCGUUGUAUUAGGUAGUUGGUGAGGUAAUGGCUCACCAAGCCUACGAUACAUAGGGGGACUGAGAGGUUAGCCCCCCACACUGGUACUGAGACACUGGCCAGACUACUACGGGAGGCAGCAGUGAGAAAUAUUGGUAAAUGGGGGCAACCCUGACCCAGCCAUGCCGCGUGCAGGAAGACGGCUCUAUGAGUUGUAAACUGCUUUUAAACAGGGAUAAAACACAGAAUGUAUACUGUGUUGAAGGUACUGUAAGAAUAAGGAUCGGCUAACUCCGUGCCAGCCGCCGCCGUAA